CGGCGAGUGAAGCGGCAAUAGCUCAAAUUUGAAAGCUGGCGUCUUCGACGUCCGCGUUGUAAUUUGUAGAGGAUGCUUCGGCGAAGACUCCUGCCUAAGUCCCCUGGAACGGGGCGUCAUAGAGGGUGAGAAUCCCGUAUGUGGCGGGCAGUCUAAGCCAUGUGAAGCUCCUUCGACGAGUCGAGUUGUUUGGGAAUGCAGCUCUAAAUGGGAGGUAAAUUUCUUCUAAAGCUAAAUAUUGGCCAGAGACCGAUAGCGCACAAGUAGAGUGAUCGAAAGAUGAAAAGCACUUUGGAAAGAGAGUUAAAAAGUACGUGAAAUUGUUGAAAGGGAAGCGCUUGCAACCAGACUCGCUCGUAGUUGCUCAGCCGGCCUCUUGGCCGGUGUACUCUUCUACGAUCGGGCCAGCAUCAGUUCGGGCGGCAGGAUAAAGGUGUCGGGAAUGUAGCACCCUUCGGGGUGUGUUAUAGCCCGGCGCGGAAUGCUGCCAGCCUGGACUGAGGAUCUCGCUUCGGCAAGGAUGCUGGCGUAAUGGUUGUAAGCGGCCCGUCUUGAAACACGGACCAAGGAGUCUAACAUCUAUGCGAGUGUUUGGGUGUCAAACCCAUGCGCGUAAUGAAAGUGAACGGAGGUGGGAACCCCUCACGGGGUGCACCAUCGACCGAUCCUGAUGUCUUCGGAUGGAUUUGAGUAAGAGCAUAGCUGUUGGGACCCGAAAGAUGGUGAACUAUGCCUGAAUAGGGUGAAGCCAGAGGAAACUCUG
This 763-nucleotide ribosomal RNA is filed under the name Phyllosticta capitalensis. Its description in RNAcentral is "eukaryotic LSU rRNA". It matches the Rfam family "Eukaryotic large subunit ribosomal RNA", at positions 87 to 866 of the family's 3401-position model. The record is from RNAcentral. RNAcentral also lists the same sequence under 1 other name. Lineage: Eukaryota; Fungi; Ascomycota; Dothideomycetes; Botryosphaeriales; Phyllostictaceae.